RNAcentral lists this unclassified non-coding RNA (328 nucleotides) under Hevea brasiliensis (rubber tree). Lineage: Eukaryota; Viridiplantae; Streptophyta; Magnoliopsida; Malpighiales; Euphorbiaceae. The record is from RNAcentral.
GGGGGAUCGGGACCAGACCUAAGGGCCCCCAGGUCCCGAUUUUGAUUCAACUCAGUUCGGUUGAAUUUUGAUCAAAUCCAACAGUAAAAUAUCUUUUAAAAUUUUUCUUUUGUUUUUUAAGCGAAAAUUUCAGUUUUGGCCCGAAACCUUACAAAAUUGGCGAGUUUCAUUUCCAGGUUUGACCAGUGGUUCCGAACUGGACCGUGGCCACUUCUAGCCCGAAUAUGGUUUUUUGAAUACCUAGCUAAGAAAUUCAAAUAUUAUUGUGCAUCAUAAAUACUGUUUCUAUGACCAGUUCAUAGCUACUACUACCACCUGCAUUCAUAGC